GAGAAAGACAAUCGUUGAAGCGUUUUAAAUUAAUUAAUUUAAAAAAAAAGGAAGGAGAAAUAAACGAGAGAGAGAGAUUAUUUAUUUAUUAUGUAUUUAUUUUCUUUCACUUAGCUAGCGAAUGCAGUUACUCAAAUACUUGGCUCAAACAGUAAGGGAUGCUAUGUUAGCUAGCUGGCUAUGGCUAUUCAACACUGAAACUCUUUCAAGUCAAGAUUCAUCUAUGAAGCCAAAACUUGGAGACUUACAAGGUGAUGUGAUUGAGUCCAGACCGACAGACAAGCUUGAUACUCACGUCUCUGAACGGAGAGGCACUUUAACACAUCCACAAUGUGGGGUUGAAGAUGGAAAGGACUGUAGAUGCUUUUGCCAAGACUCCUGCCUCUGUUGUUUGAUGGGGAAACCAUUGGAAACAUGUAUGGCGCCAGCACGUGCAGACUUGCAAGAUAAUGUGUCAGUCCAGACUGACAGACGGGCUUGAUAGUGAUGUCUCUGAAUGGAGAGAGGCCUGGCACUCAGCAUUAACAUUUAAGUAGACAACUUUUACUUGUAAUCUAUUUUUUUAUUAUUGAAUUGAAUGGUAUCAGUCAAUAUGAGGAGAGAAAACCCCUGUGUAUUCUGCACCAGGAUCAGGGAACUCCUGUUGUAUAAGGGACACCACAGAGGAAGGUAUGACCAUUCUGUUUGCCAAGGUAGGCCCUGUACCACCAGCCAAAUGUCGAUAGGCACAGUGUCUGUAUCAGCUGGGAAUGACUAUGGAAGGUGAAAGGUGCACAUUGCUUCUAUGGUAUUAUGUAAAGGUUUGUUUAUUUUAUAUGGACCUGUUACUACAUUUGAAAGGGUUCAAAACACUUAGUUUAGAAUAUCUACAUUCAGCAAUUGCAUUCUCCUCAUAUUACUCUGCAGGUUACAGACCUAUUCAAAGCUUCCUCUGACAUCUGCCUAUAAAUAUUGAACUCAACUUGCAGGAGGUUUGUUUGUUGUGAUUGAGAGGGGGGAAACAGCUGCGCGCAAGGUUCUGGCAGAUGGUUGUGUCUUAAUAGUGGAAGUCGCUCUGGAUAACAGUAUCUGCUAAAUGACCAAAAUGUCAAAUGCAAAUGUUUAACAUACCGAUCUCAUUGUAUUGAAUUAUUAUUAUUUAAUUUGACUGUGUAAAACCUUGCAGGACUACUUAUUUUUCUGAGAUAGGACGGAUAUACAGCAUUUAGCAAAAAAAACAUGAUUAUUUUCUCUUUGAAAUUAAACUAUGAAGUGAUACAGUUCCAACAAAUGCAAGUAUGUCAUUGAACAACCACAUACCAUGAUUAGAUAGUGAAAAAACACACCAAUCCUCUUUCAUAAUCUCUUUAAACAUUAAAAGCUAAUUUUCUAAUAUUUAUUCAAAUGGAUAUACAGCGUUUAUUCAUUUGUUGAUUCCACAUUGUUAUCGUAUGGAGAAUAACUGUGCAAAGGGCAGAGUUAUUCAGUCCUUUUUCCACUUCCAUAUCCCAACCCUAGAUGGCAGCAGCAACUGGGUCAGUUGCUGAGUUAGUUCUGCCAGCAAUGUGAUACAUUUGACGAUUACUCAGGUGUUGGCAAUCAGUGAGAGAGGUGGAGCCUUGGUCUAGCGGUCCUUGCCUGCAUUUGUU
Molecule: non-coding RNA, 1628 nt
Organism: Oncorhynchus mykiss (rainbow trout)
Lineage: Eukaryota; Metazoa; Chordata; Actinopteri; Salmoniformes; Salmonidae
Source: RefSeq, a predicted model, not a curated record